AUAUUGCGCAAUGGGGGAAACCCUGACGCAGCGACGCCGCGUGGGUGAGGAAGUCCUUCGGGAUGUAAAGCCCUUUUCACCGGGACGAGAACGGACGGUACCGGUGGAAUAAGCCCCGGCUAACUACGUGCCAGCAGCCGCGGUAAUACGUAGGGGGCAAGCGUUGUCCGGAUUUACUGGGCGUAAAGAGCGCGUAGGCGGAAGCUUAAGCGUGGCCUGAAAGCCCCCGGCUUAACCGGGGAGGGUGGCUGCGAACUGGGCUUCUUGAGGUCGAUAGAGGAGAGCGGAAUUCCUGGUGUAGCGGUGAAAUGCGUAGAUAUCAGGAGGAACACCGGUGGCGAAGGCGGCUCUCUGGGUCGGACCUGACGCUGAGGCGCGAAAGCGUGGGGAGCGAAC
This 396-nucleotide ribosomal RNA is filed under the name uncultured bacterium. RNAcentral's name for it is "bacterial SSU rRNA". It matches the Rfam family "Bacterial small subunit ribosomal RNA", at positions 361 to 773 of the family's 1533-position model. The record is from RNAcentral.